GAAAUGCGAUACUUGGUGUGAAUUGCAGAAUCCCGUGAACCAUCGAGUCUUUGAACGCAAGUUGCGCCCGAAGCCAUUAGGUUGAGGGCACGUCUUCCUGGGCGUCUCACGUUGCGUCGCCCGUGCCACCUCCCCCCCCCCCACGAAGGGGGAAGAAGGGCUGUGGACGGAUGUUGGGCCCCCGCGCGGGGUCGGCCCAAAAGCGAGUCGCCCGCGACGGACGACGCGUCGCCACGAGUGGUGGUUGACAAACCGUUGCGUCGCGUUGCAUGCGUCCAGUCCGUCACGGGACGCCUGUCGUGACCCUAUCGCGCCGCCGCAAGGUGCUCCGAUCGCGACCCCAGGUCAGGCGGGAUUACCUGCUGAGUUUAA
Molecule: unclassified non-coding RNA, 372 nt
Filed under: uncultured fungus
Lineage: Eukaryota; Fungi
Description: sequence contains ITS1
Rfam family: 5.8S ribosomal RNA (bases 1-107)
Source: RNAcentral